Puntigrus tetrazona (Sumatra barb) is the source of this 762-nucleotide long non-coding RNA. RefSeq lists it as uncharacterized. Lineage: Eukaryota; Metazoa; Chordata; Actinopteri; Cypriniformes; Cyprinidae. The record is from RefSeq and is a predicted model, not a curated record. The transcript is spliced from 3 exons.
CGACUGGAAGUUUUCACUGUCCUGCUGUAAAAGUAUGGGUCAGUUAAUUAAACAUCUGCCCUCUGCUGGCCAGGUAUUGAACACUCAGCUAAAAUAUUCUGAAAGACAAGGGUGCCGAGAUAAGACAGUGAUACAAAUAAAAGACUAAAACAACAGAAAAAGAGCAAGAGGAAGAAUAAAGAUGAGCCAGGAAAGAGAGACUGGACGAUGGUGCCGUUGGGAAGGAGCAACAUUUUAGUGAAGAUCAUUCUGUGGCUGACAGUCUCUGUCUCUGAUUUCAAAUGUACUUUGAAAUCACACAAUAAAACUAAACAAUGUUAGAAAAUAACAAUAUAAUAAUGACAUUUGUGUAUAGAUAGGUACAAGAAAUGAUGAUAUGAUUACAAUAAAAUUGUGAUGAAUUAAUAAAGAAAGAAUGAAUAAAUAAAAAGAAAGAAAGAAAAUGAAACAUAAUUGUUUGGUGACUCUCUUUCAUCAACUCACUUUUAAUCCACAUAAGUCUACGAAGAAGACGCUUAAUAAAGAAGAAAUAAAAAUAGAAAAUAUAUUAUCUCCAUCAUGAGCGCUUCACAACUUCUAAGGUAUGACUUUUUUCUGUGGAAAGCCACCUGCAUAUGUCUCAUGCACUCAUUUUGAUUGAAGUGAUUGUAUAAUAACAUGUAAAAUGCUUUACAUCUUAUUAUAUUUUCAUGCAUGUAAUUAAUUGAAUCUUGCAAUAAGGUGAAAACAUUUAUGAAAUUAAAUAACGAAUCGAUAAACUUU